UUGGAUAUUCUUCGGAAAUGUCCUUGUAUUCUGUCGCUAGCAAUUCAAACACGUCUUCCCCAUAAUAUCCAAUAUGCAUGGUCUCGUUCUCAAGUUUCAUAUCAUAAAAUUCUCUUAGUUCAGGCCAACCCAAACACAGAAUUGGAUGUGGAGCAUGUCCUUCAAAGUCAACCAUCUUAUAAUUUCCAUCUGGUCGUUUGAACUUCCAU
This 209-nucleotide long non-coding RNA is filed under the name Medicago truncatula (barrel medic). Its description in RNAcentral is "long non-coding RNA (MTRU_LNC000445)". Lineage: Eukaryota; Viridiplantae; Streptophyta; Magnoliopsida; Fabales; Fabaceae. The record is from RNAcentral.